Molecule: long non-coding RNA, 447 nt
Organism: Myotis brandtii (Brandt's bat)
Lineage: Eukaryota; Metazoa; Chordata; Mammalia; Chiroptera; Vespertilionidae
Exons: 2
Source: RefSeq, a predicted model, not a curated record
GUAUUUAAAGGGCCAGAAGGUUGAGAACCACUGCUUUAAACACCAAGUGUAGACAAGGUUCAUGUCUUUCAGAUUCCACAGCAUCGGUAAAGAGGAGGGCUGAGAAUAUUACUUCAGUGGAGGAGGCAGAAGAUGACCUGAGUGGGACCCAGUUCGUGUGUGAGACUGUAAUCCGAUCCCUUACCUUGGAUGCUGCCCCAGAUCACAACCCACCUUGCAGACAGAAGUCUCUGCACACACUGCAAACUGGCAUUUCAAUUCUGCUUUGACCCGUCUCAGUAUAUUAAACAUUACAUGAAAAGGAAAAGGGAUGGAGGUGUGCAGGAGGCAGCUGAUCGAUGUUUCCCUCUCAUCGAUGUUUCUAACUCUCUAUCCCUCUCCCUUCCUCUUUGUAAAAAAUCAAUAAAAAAAUAUAUGAAGAAACAGAGCUGAGGAUGUUUCUGCCUA